AGCGAACGCUGGCGGCAGGCUUAACACAUGCAAGUCGAACGCAUCUUCGGAUGAGUGGCAGACGGGUGAGUAACACGUGGGAACGUACCUUUUAGUUCGGGAUAACUCAGGGAAACUUGUGCUAAUACCGGAUAAGCCCUUCGGGGGAAAGAUUUAUCGCUGAAAGAUCGGCCCGCGUCUGAUUAGCUAGUUGGUAGGGUAAAGGCCUACCAAGGCGACGAUCAGUAGCUGGUCUGAGAGGAUGAUCAGCCACACUGGGACUGAGACACGGCCCAGACUCCUACGGGAGGCAGCAGUGGGGAAUAUUGGACAAUGGGCGCAAGCCUGAUCCAGCCAUGCCGCGUGAGUGAUGAAGGCCCUAGGGUUGUAAAGCUCUUUCGGCGGGGACGAUAAUGACGGUACCCGCAGAAGAAGCCCCGGCUAACUUCGUGCCAGCCGCCGCCGUAAAAC
RNAcentral lists this ribosomal RNA (450 nucleotides) under uncultured bacterium. RNAcentral describes it as "bacterial SSU rRNA". It matches the Rfam family "Bacterial small subunit ribosomal RNA", at positions 29 to 526 of the family's 1533-position model. The record is from RNAcentral.